RNAcentral lists this ribosomal RNA (149 nucleotides) under Fusarium libertatis. Its description in RNAcentral is "partial 28S large subunit ribosomal RNA". It matches the Rfam family "Eukaryotic large subunit ribosomal RNA", at positions 3252 to 3399 of the family's 3401-position model. Lineage: Eukaryota; Fungi; Ascomycota; Sordariomycetes; Hypocreales; Nectriaceae. The record is from RNAcentral.
CGCGUCGUGGUAUUUCGCGUAUUGUAAUUUCAACACGAGCGGGGUCAAAUCCUUUGCAGACGACUUAUCUGUGCGAAACGGUCCUGUAAGCAGUAGAGUAGCCUUGUUGUUACGAUCUGCUGAGGGUAAGCCGUCCUUCGCCUCGAUUU